UUCGCAAUGCCCGAAAGGGUGACGAAGCGACGCCGCGUGUGGGAAGAAGGCCUUCGGGUUGUAAACCACUGUCGGGAGUUAAGAAAUGUAAGGGUGUUAAUAGCGCCUUUACUUGACAAAGGCUCCGGAGGAAGCCACGGCUAACUCUGUGCCAGCAGCCGCGGUAAUACAGAGGCGGCAAGCGUUGUUCGGAAUUAUUGGGCGUAAAGAGCACGUAGGCGGCCCUGAAAGUCAGUUGUGAAAGCCUUCUGCUUAACGGAAGAAUAGCAGCUGAUACUACAGAGCUUGAGUACGGGAGGGGAGAGUGGAACUUCUGGUGGAGCGGUGAAAUGCGUAGAUAUCAGAAGGAACGCCGGCGGCGAAAGCGACUCUCUGGUCCGUAACUGACGCUGAGUGUGCGAAAGCUAGGGGAGCAAACGGGAUUAGAUACCCUGGUAGUCCUGGCUGUAAACGAUGGGCACUAAGUAGAGGGGUUUU
This 477-nucleotide ribosomal RNA is filed under the name uncultured Planctomycetota bacterium. RNAcentral describes it as "bacterial SSU rRNA". It matches the Rfam family "Bacterial small subunit ribosomal RNA", at positions 365 to 832 of the family's 1533-position model. Lineage: Bacteria; Pseudomonadati; Planctomycetota. The record is from RNAcentral.